UACGUAGGGUGCAAGCGUUGUCCGGAAUUAUUGGGCGUAAAGAGCUCGUAGGCGGUCUGUUAAGUCGGACGUGAAAUCCCUCGGCUCAACCGGGGAACUGCGUCCGAUACUGGCGGGCUUGAAUUCGGGAGAGGGAUGUGGAAUUCCAGGUGUAGCGGUGAAAUGCGUAGAUAUCUGGAGGAACACCGGUGGCGAAGGCGGCAUCCUGGACCGACAUUGACGCUGAGGCGCGAAAGCCAGGGGAGCAAACGGG
This 253-nucleotide ribosomal RNA is filed under the name uncultured bacterium. RNAcentral describes it as "partial 16S ribosomal RNA". It matches the Rfam family "Bacterial small subunit ribosomal RNA", at positions 524 to 776 of the family's 1533-position model. The record is from RNAcentral.